This 253-nucleotide ribosomal RNA is filed under the name uncultured bacterium. Its description in RNAcentral is "partial 16S ribosomal RNA". It matches the Rfam family "Bacterial small subunit ribosomal RNA", at positions 524 to 776 of the family's 1533-position model. The record is from RNAcentral.
UACGUAGGGUGCGAGCGUUAAUCGGAAUUACUGGGCGUAAAGGGUGCGCAGGCGGCUCCGCAUGUCGGGCGUGAAAUCCCCGGGCUUAACCUGGGAAUUGCGUCCGAAACUAUGGAGCUGGAGUGUGGCAGAGGGAGGUGGAAUUCCACGUGUAGCGGUGAAAUGCGUAGAUAUCGGGAGGAACACCUGUGGCGAAAGCGGCUCACUGGACCACAACUGACGCUGAGGCGCGAAAGCUAGGGGAGCAAACAGG